RNAcentral lists this ribosomal RNA (253 nucleotides) under uncultured bacterium. RNAcentral's name for it is "partial 16S ribosomal RNA". It matches the Rfam family "Bacterial small subunit ribosomal RNA", at positions 524 to 776 of the family's 1533-position model. The record is from RNAcentral.
UACGGAGGGGGCAAGCGUUGUUCGGAAUUACUGGGCGUAAAGGGCGCGUAGGCGGCCCGCUAAGUCGAACGUGAAAUCCCCGGGCUUAACCUGGGAACUGCGUCCGAUACUGGCAGGCUUGAAUCCGGGAGAGGGAUGUGGAAUUCCAGGUGUAGCGGUGAAAUGCGCAGAUAUCAGGAGGAACACCGGUGGCGAAGGCAGGUCUCUGGGCAUUAACUGACGCUGAGGAGCGAAAGCAUGGGGAGCGAACAGG